GACGAACGCUGGCGGCGUGCUUAACACAUGCAAGUCGAACGGUAAGGCCCUUCGGGGUACACGAGUGGCGAACGGGUGAGUAACACGUGGGUGAUCUGCCCUGCACUUCGGGAUAAGCCUGGGAAACUGGGUCUAAUACCGGAUAGGACUCCUGGCUUCAUGGUUGGGGGUGGAAAGCUUUUGCGGUGUUGGAUGGGCCCGCGGCCUAUCAGCUUGUUGGUGGGGUAAUGGCCUACCAAGGAGACGACGGGUAGCCGGCCUGAGAGGGUGACCGGUCACACUGGGACUGAGAUACGGCUCAGACUCCUACGGGAGGCAGCAGUGGGGAAUAUUGCACAAUGGGCGCAAGCCUGAUGCAGCGACGCCGCGUGAGGGAUGACGGCCUUCGGGUUGUAAACCUCUUUCAGCUAUGACGAAGCGCAAGUGACGGUAGUAGCAGAAGAAGGACCGGCCAACUACGUGCCAGCAGCCGCAGUAA
RNAcentral lists this ribosomal RNA (478 nucleotides) under uncultured bacterium. RNAcentral's name for it is "partial 16S ribosomal RNA". It matches the Rfam family "Bacterial small subunit ribosomal RNA", at positions 28 to 523 of the family's 1533-position model. The record is from RNAcentral.